This 494-nucleotide ribosomal RNA is filed under the name uncultured bacterium. Its description in RNAcentral is "partial 16S ribosomal RNA". It matches the Rfam family "Bacterial small subunit ribosomal RNA", at positions 28 to 507 of the family's 1533-position model. The record is from RNAcentral.
GACGAACGCUGGCGGCGUGCUUAACACAUGCAAGUCGAACGGAAAGGCCUGCUUUCCCUUGUGGAUUGCGGGUACUCGAGUGGCGAACGGGUGAGUAACACGUGAGUGAUCUGCCCCCAACUUGGGUAUAAGCCUGGGAAACUGGGUCUAAUUCCCGAUAGGACUGCAGGGUGGUGCCUGUGGUGGAAAACGAUUUUCUAGUGGUUGGGGAUGAGCUCGCGGCCUAUCAGCUUGUUGGUGGGGUAAUGGCCUACCAAGGCGGCGACGGGUAGCCGGCCUGAGAGGGUGGACGGCCACAUUGAGACUGAGAUACGGCCCAGACUCCUACGGGAGGCAGCAGUGGGGAAUAUUGCACAAUGGGCGGAAGCCUGAUGCAGCGACGCAGCGUGGGGGAUGACGGCCUUCGGGUUGUAAACUCCUUUCGACCGCGAGGAAGCCACCUGGUUGGAAGGGUGGUGACGGUAGUGGUAGAAGAAGCACCGGCUAACUACGUG